This 24-nucleotide non-coding RNA is filed under the name Arabidopsis thaliana (thale cress). The record is from RNAcentral. Lineage: Eukaryota; Viridiplantae; Streptophyta; Magnoliopsida; Brassicales; Brassicaceae.
GGGCGCUGGAACGUCUGGGAUCGG